CAGACUUUCUAAAAGGAAGAGCAGAAGAUCUGCAGUGAAACCUGAUCAGCAGAAGAUCUGUAAUGAGUCUACGAUCUCAGACACAUAUGCAGGUCUGGAUCUCCAGUCUGCGACCUCUGACCUGUACAACACACUCACAAGCGUUCACCACAGACCUGCUGAAAACUCCUGCUCCACUCUUGAUCCUCAGAGCUCUUCUGAACAUCACAAUCCACCAAUCAACAGGAAGAGGCUGCAGUGAGAGGCGGAGCAUUCUUGAGCUGUGUGGGCGGAGCCACAGGUGAUUUACAGUGAUCAUUAGUGAUGUCAACAUGUAACAGUGGUGUUGAAACUGUCUAAAAAGCUUAAGAUAGGGAGAGGAAAAAACAAUGUUUAGUGGUGUUAUAGAAUCUGUUAUUUACUUUAUAUAUCAUUAUAUGGGUUUUUAUAUCACAAUAGAUCAUUUUACACUCAAUAGGCCCUAUCAUACACUUGGCACAAGUGUAAUUUGCUAGUGCCAGCUCGGCACAGGUACCAUUUUCCCAUUUGCACCACGUUGUUUAUAUAGCAAAUGAAUUUGUGUGCACCAUUCUGCGCUGGUCUAAAAAGGAGGUGUGUUGAGGCGCUUUGUUGGCACAUUGCUAUUUUGAGGCAACUGAAAGACCUUGCCAAGAGCUCCUCUAAAGUCAACAGCACAGGGUUUUUUGUUUAAAGAUUGCGUUACUUUUAUGUGACUAUGCAGAUCCAAAAUGAAUGUACACACUGCUUAUUACACACACAGGGAUGUACAGCAGUACACAAAUAUCCUUAAAUAUGAAAAAUUAAAGAUUUAAAAUGUAAAUGCCUUCUUUGUUUCGGUUAAUUCAAUGAAGUUAAAGCUUUUCUGCCUAAACAGCAGAUAUUCCAUGGGGAGACCACAACUCACUAAAGUGAAUGAGAGAUAAAUCUCUGAUUGGUUUAAUGCACGUAACUCUCUAAACACACCCACAACUCAUUAAGAGAAUAAGGAUGACCCUUUUAGACCAUGUGCCAGUCUAAAUCCUUAAAACAGCUAAAAUUGAUUCAGACACCUCCUUAGUGCUUUGAUCCACCUGCUUUAGACGUUUCACUUGGAGUGCUAAAAUGUAGCCCAAUGUCUAUAACCCUCACUCCACCAGCAGAUGUCUCCAUCUCCUGCUACUUAAAGAGAUGUGGUUUUAUCAUGUACUGUGUUUAAAGUCAGAUGAAUGUGUUCUGCUUCAUUAAUAAUGAUUGAUACUGUGAGUAAUAUCAAUAUUCUGAUUAGUCAGUUUUGUAAAGAGCUUCUCAUCCUGAUUUGUGUUUAAUCCGUUUUACCUUUUUCUACCUAUUUUUAAUUGUGUGUAAAUGUGCGUCUGUAAUUUAUUGUUAUAAUGCUUUGCCAAUGCUGUAAAGUCAUUUACAGUGCCGAUAAA
Long non-coding RNA from Danio aesculapii, 1412 nucleotides. RefSeq lists it as uncharacterized. The record is from RefSeq and is a predicted model, not a curated record. Lineage: Eukaryota; Metazoa; Chordata; Actinopteri; Cypriniformes; Danionidae. The transcript is spliced from 4 exons.